RNAcentral lists this ribosomal RNA (447 nucleotides) under uncultured bacterium. RNAcentral's name for it is "partial 16S ribosomal RNA". It matches the Rfam family "Bacterial small subunit ribosomal RNA", at positions 29 to 507 of the family's 1533-position model. The record is from RNAcentral.
AACGAACGCUGGCGGUAUGCUUAACACAUGCAAGUCGAACGGACUAAUUAGGGCUUUCUCCAGUUAGUGAGUGGCAGACGGGUGAGUAACACGUGGGAAUCUGCCCCUCAGUACGGAAUAACUUUUAGAAAUAAAAGCUAAUACCGUAUAUUCUCUUCAGAGGACAGAUUUAUCGCUGAUGGAUGAGCGCGCGUCAGAUUAGGUAGUUGGUGAGGUAACGGCUCACCAAGCCGACGAUCUGUAGCUGGUCUGAGAGGAUGAUCAGCCACACUGGGACUGAGACACGGACCCGACUCGGACGGGAGGGAGCAGUGGGGAAUAUUGGACAAGGGGGGAAAGCCUGAUCCAGCAAUGCCGAGUGAGUGAUAAAGGCCGUAGGGUUGUAAAGCUGUUUUAGCAAGGAAGAUAAUGACGGUACUUGCAGAAAAAGCCCCGGCUAACUACGUG